GAAGUGAAGAGUACCCGACGACAUUCAGGGAUGAAUGUAGACCCAUCGGGCGGGGAUAAUCAUUCCGGUCCUGGGAGAGGUGGCGACACCAGUCUGAGCUGAGGGAAGCGAGCCAAUUGAGUCACUGAAACGACCGCAGGAGGCGCACCCUAAGCCCAGCUUCUCGGAGCUGCUAUUGCGAAAUACGGCUUCCUUAAUAUCCAAAUUUUAACAAGGGGGCUGGGCUGCUCGCCUUCAUAGAAAGGCGACCGGGCCUAGAUUAGAUGUUCGCCUUUUUAUAGAAUAGAAAGAGAAGGUAAAG
Molecule: long non-coding RNA, 301 nt
Filed under: Hordeum vulgare
Lineage: Eukaryota; Viridiplantae; Streptophyta; Magnoliopsida; Poales; Poaceae
Description: long non-coding RNA (HVUL_LNC012594)
Source: RNAcentral